AUACGUAGGGGGCGAGCGUUGUCCGGAAUGAUUGGGCGUAAAGGGCGCGUAGGCGGCCCGGUAAGUCUGGAGUGAAAGUCCUGUUUUUAAGAUGGGAAUUGCUUUGGAUACUGUCGGGCUUGAGUGCAGGAGAGGUAAGUGGAAUUCCCAGUGUAGCGGUGAAAUGCGUAGAGAUUGGGAGGAACACCAGUGGCGAAGGCGACUUACUGGACUGUAACUGACGCUGAGGCGCGAAAGUGUGGGGAGCAAACAGGAUUAGAUACCCUGGUAGUCCACACUGUAAACGAUGAAUGCUAGGUGUAGGGGGUAUCGACCCCUUCUGUGCCGCAGUCAACACAAUAAGCAUUCCGCCUGGGGAGUACGGCCGCAAGGUUGAAACUCAAAUGAAUUGACGGGU
This 397-nucleotide ribosomal RNA is filed under the name uncultured bacterium. RNAcentral's name for it is "partial 16S ribosomal RNA". It matches the Rfam family "Bacterial small subunit ribosomal RNA", at positions 523 to 918 of the family's 1533-position model. The record is from RNAcentral.